GUUGCCUUUAUGGUUCUCCGAAGGCUCUGGGUGCUGAAAACAAUUCACCGCCAGAACAGUAGGUGGAGAAGCGUUUUUUUGUCAAAGACAAGCUACAUCAUGACGUCUUUGUCUGUUAGAAGUUGUCGAUUGUUUAUCUCCCACCUCCCACUAGCCAGACACGUAACAUGGGUCACACUAUAUCAUUACUAUAGAGAGCGUGUCUAAUUCUAUGUAUGUACUUGAAAAGGCAAACUUAUCUCUAUCAUGGUAGGUAUUAUUUGUGGGAAAAAUAGUAGCAAAAAAAUGAUAUGCUUAUCUUAUAUACACUAUAGAAACUAUUAAAAAACGAUUCAAUGAAAUGAAUACGUUCCUAUUUUCUUUAGUAUUUUUGUCACAUUCAGAUUUGCAAUGAUGAUUGCUGGGUAAUAUGUAUGCUGUUGUCCAAUGUCAAGUCUGUAUUUGAUCAUGUGACAAGACGAUAUGAUAUAGAUAGUUUAGGCACAGCAUCUGAACGUCAAGACCGACAAGCUGACAGUGUUGUACAAGUUCACACCUCUCAUGAACUAGUUGAAAGUUCAGUUCAUGCAAGUAAACAUGAAUAGUUCACGUUCAUAGUUCACCAUUUAAAUUCUGAACCAGUUCAUAGUUUAGUUCAGUUCAUAGUUUUAGAGUGGAAAGUGAGAAUGAAAGACUUCACUUGUUUUUUUAUAGAAAACUUUAUCCAUCACUACCCCUUGACUUAAACUGCACUUCGUGUGUAUCAAUUCCUAAAAUAAUAAUAUUUUUAUUAUUAUUAUUGCAACCACCCUGUCAAUUUCCCCCUACCGCAGUGUUUCUCGAAGUGUGGGGAGAGCCCAACUGGUGGGUCGCAGAGACGUGACAGGUGGGGCACGAAUGGACACGAUGAGCAGGAGAUUUUCCCGUUGCAAUGCAUUCCUUUAUAGACAGUAACGAUAAUAUACCCCCAUCGCACUAAACAACCACACUCAAACAAAGAAAUAUUGUAUUGUUAGAAACAAUAGCAGGGCAGAGCACACGGAUAAUCCAUAAUCAGCAUCUUGGCAAAUUGAGACUGCGGCCUGCGCGAUAAAGCAUUGAACAUUCCAUAUUUAAAAUAUCUUAAUAAGUAGUGAAGUCAACGUGUCUGCUUCACAUGAUAGAGAAGUUUGUUUAUUGACACAUCUUUUAAGGACGGCCACAGCACUUUAAAACGAAGUGUUUAUAAGUUACAUUAUUCAAAGGUGGAAGGUUGGUCAGUAAUCAGUCUAGAGAGGGCAGCGCCAGAUAACCGAACAAAACUCAACACACGCUUGCCUCACGUGUGCAAUACCAUAUGGCUUUUAAUCAUAUUUGAUAGAAUGAAGGACAAAUGAGUUGUGAAUACUAUCACCGAGUUUGAAAGGUAUUGGUCAGGUAAUAGCCGAGUGACAGCUGAUUUGCUUUCUGAUUUGACAGUACUUCUGUGUGUUUUAAGCAAAUACAAUGUGGAAUGUUCAUGAAGGGGCACCUGCUAUCGUGAAUUAUACAGUAAAUGAGUUGCAAAAUGAAACGAAAACACAUCAGAGUUAAAGUUGUAUUAGUGUUGAUUGAUUCACAUCGAUAUGGAUGGAUGACAUGAGUAACAAGUGGUGGAAAAUGAAUAUGAAAGUACUGAAGUCAACGUGUCUGCUUCACAUGAUGCAGAAGUUGGUUUUUGAGAAGAAAAUAACUUCAAAUUUAGGAUUUUAGCGCCGAAUUGCGUAGAGGCCGAGAGCGGUAUUGCCGAAAAAUUAUAGCUUGCAACAUAUUGAAAAAAAGAACUAGUUCAUUUUUUGGAGCUGUGAACUUAGUUCAAAAUGUUGAAUUAUAAACUAUGAACUGAACUAGUUCAUGUAGAAAGUGAACUUUCCCAACACUGGAACAUGUCUGCUUCACAUAAUGCAGAAGUUUGUUUUUGAGAAUAAAAUAACUUCACAUUUAGGAUAACAGCCUUCUUCCUGUUGCAGGAAUUUGUUUGUGUCCUAGCUGUGACAACGCGAUUACAGGCGGCAAAUGCAUCAUAAAGCAAGUUUAAAAGAAAUUAACUGUAUGGAGAUAUUUCUGUCGGAUGGCAUCAUAGUCGAUGCAGAUUCUAAUGAGGGUGUUGGAUAUGUCCCAUGAUAUGAUAUGAAUGAAUAUGUCUAAAGGUCGUUUGGACAAAAUAUUUUAAUAGCUGUCUGCUCCUGCCGGGCUCUGGCACUACUCUGUCAGAUGCUGGCGCUCAUGUGGGUUUUAAAUAUGGCGGUAUUGUGAUAUAUAUGGAAUGAAACAGGAAACGCGAGGUCCAGAAAUGUGAGAUUCCGGAAAUGAUGUCGUUCGGAAAUGAUGUCGUAGCGGACCAAUCACGGCCAAGGGGUAUCCGUAGCUGUACAGCACGUCAGGACGGACCGACAGGAAUUUCAGCGG
Clupea harengus (Atlantic herring) is the source of this 2406-nucleotide long non-coding RNA. NCBI's taxonomy places the organism in Eukaryota, Metazoa, Chordata, Actinopteri, Clupeiformes, Clupeidae. The record is from Ensembl.